ACUCAAAUGAAUAGACGGGGACUCGCACAAGCGGUGGAUUAUGUGGCUUAAUUCGAUGCCAAACGAAGAACCUUACCAGGGUUCGAAACCAUGCUGCACGCCCGAGGAAACUCGGGAAGCCUUCGAGGGUGCAUGGCAGGUGAUGCAUGGCCGUCGUCAGUUCGUGGCUUGAGCUGUUCCCUUAAGUGGGGAAACGAACGCAACCCCUAUUGCCUGUUUUACGUGUCAGGCGAGACUGCUCCCUUACGGGAGAGGAAGGCAGGGAUGACGCCAGGUCAGCAUGUCCCUCUGAUACCCUGGGCUGCACACAUAAUACAAUGGUUGGUACAACGGGAUGCGAACGCGCGAGCGGGAGCCGAUCCUUUAAAACCAAUCUCAGUACGGAUUGGAGUCUGCAACUCGACUCCAUGAAGCUGGAAUCGCUAGUAAUCCCGGGUCAGCUAUACCGGGGUGAAUACGUUCUCGAGUCUUGUACACACCGCCCGU
This 486-nucleotide ribosomal RNA is filed under the name uncultured bacterium. RNAcentral describes it as "partial 16S ribosomal RNA". It matches the Rfam family "Bacterial small subunit ribosomal RNA", at positions 899 to 1397 of the family's 1533-position model. The record is from RNAcentral.